CGGGACCAGUCCCGUUAAGGAAUGUGGCCUGAUAUCAGGCUGAACCUUUGG
This 51-nucleotide non-coding RNA is filed under the name unclassified sequences. RNAcentral's name for it is "eL15-Euryarchaeota ribosomal protein leader". It matches the Rfam family "eL15-Euryarchaeota ribosomal protein leader". The record is from RNAcentral.